AUGCCCAUGGAUGCGGGGAACAACGGGAAACAGCGGCUGCAGGACAAGUUCGACCUCCUUGCGAAGGAGCAAGGGUACCGGAGUCGCGCGGCCUUCAAGCUGCUCCAGCUCGACACGCUCUUCCGUUUUCUCCCGACGGCUCGCGCGGUGCUUGAUCUCUGCGCCGCGCCUGGGGGGUGGGUCCAGGUGGCCGUCAGCCGCGCCGCCCCCGGCGCCUUCGUCGUCGGCGUCGACCUCGCGCCCAUCCGCCCCAUCCGCGGCGCUCUCUCUCUCAAGGAAGACAUAACUGCCAGUGCCAGGUGCGGCGCCGCCGUGCGGCGGCUCAUGGACUCGAGGGGCGUCACGUCAUUUGAAGUCGUCCUCCACGACGGUGUUGGACGAAAGAAAAAGAGAGGAAAUCGUUCCGUGUGCGGUGGCAACAGUGCAUCGGCUGCGCAGGAGGCCACAACCACGCAGUCAGCGCUUGUCAUGGACGCCGUGCGCCUAGCUACCAUGUUCCUCGCCCCCAAUGGCACCUUCAUCACCAAGUUCUUCAGGUGUCAAGAUUACAAGGCUGUAAUGUUCUGCCUGAAACAGCUAUUUGAGCGUGUUCAUCUGAGUAGACCUGUAGCAAGUUGGUCCACGCCUGCUGAAAUUUAUGUUAUCUGUCUGAGAUAUAAAGCCCCUGCAAAUAUUCAACCAGAACUUCUUGAUUUGAAGCACCUGCACUUGUUGAGUGUGGAUGCAGAGAAACGCAAGCGGCAGGAAAGCACAGAAAUCUGGAAAACUGGUCUAGCAUCAGAUUUUAUAUGGUCUGAGGCCCAGACACCACUAGAGUUUCUUGGUUCCUUUUUGACAAUUUCAUUUGACGAUCCAGCAUCUCUGCCUAUCAAGAAUCAUGAGCUUACUACAGAUGAGGUAGUGGAGUAUUGCCUGCCUAGCUUCUCUUCUGUCUUAGUUAUGACCCUGGUUGCUUGUACCUUUGCUGUCUAG
RNAcentral lists this ribosomal RNA (972 nucleotides) under Triticum aestivum (bread wheat). RNAcentral describes it as "partial small subunit ribosomal RNA". Lineage: Eukaryota; Viridiplantae; Streptophyta; Magnoliopsida; Poales; Poaceae. The record is from RNAcentral.